This 29-nucleotide small RNA is filed under the name Bombyx mori (domestic silkworm). RNAcentral's name for it is "ovarian small RNA-38028". The record is from RNAcentral. Lineage: Eukaryota; Metazoa; Arthropoda; Insecta; Lepidoptera; Bombycidae.
UUGGGAGGGCCUCCACCAUAAUUGGCGGG